Molecule: long non-coding RNA, 199 nt
Organism: Harpegnathos saltator (Jerdon's jumping ant)
Lineage: Eukaryota; Metazoa; Arthropoda; Insecta; Hymenoptera; Formicidae
Exons: 3
Source: RefSeq, a predicted model, not a curated record
UUCAUACUGCAGAUAGCUAUAGCCUGAACGUCAAAAAUGAGAUUUUCAGUGCAGUGUGUGCAGUCUGUAAAAUGCAACUUGAAGAUUACAAGCAGCAAAAGAUUGAAGACUAUUAAGAUAUUUGAAUCUUCUCAUUCUGAUGCAAAUAUUAGUCUUUUGUUCGCCUCCGUAGUGGUUUGAUAUGGUUCCUAUAACUACG